CUANCAUGCAAGUCGAGCGAACUGAUUAGAAGCUUGCUUCUAUGACGUUAGCGGCGGACGGGUGAGUAACACGUGGGCAACCUGCCUGUAAGACUGGGAUAACUUCGGGAAACCGAAGCUAAUACCGGAUAGGAUCUUCUCCUUCAUGGGAGAUGAUUGAAAGAUGGUUUCGGCUAUCACUUACAGAUGGGCCCGCGGUGCAUUAGCUAGUUGGUGAGGUAACGGCUCACCAAGGCAACGAUGCAUAGCCGACCUGAGAGGGUGAUCGGCCACACUGGGACUGAGACACGGCCCAGACUCCUACGGGAGGCAGCAGUAGGGAAUCUUCCGCAAUGGACGAAAGUCUGACGGAGCAACGCCGCGUGAGUGAUGAAGGCUUUCGGGUCGUAAAACUCUGUUGUUAGGGAAGAACAAGUACAAGAGUAACUGCUUGUACCUUGACGGUACCUAACCAGAAAGCCACGGCUAACUACGUGCCAGCAGCCGCGGUAAUACGUAGGUGGCAAGCGUUAUCCGGAAUUAUUGGGCGUAAAGCGCGCGCAGGCGGUUUCUUAAGUCUGAUGUGAAAGCCCACGGCUCAACCGUGGAGGGUCAUUGGAAACUGGGGAACUUGAGUGCAGAAGAGAAAAGCGGAAUUCCAC
RNAcentral lists this ribosomal RNA (641 nucleotides) under bacterium Co.J22. RNAcentral describes it as "bacterial SSU rRNA". It matches the Rfam family "Bacterial small subunit ribosomal RNA", at positions 50 to 672 of the family's 1533-position model. The record is from RNAcentral.